AUGAUGGUUUGGUUGCUUUUCAUUAUAGGUCUUAUGGGACUUUUUUUACAACAAAAGAGACUCCAUCAUUUCUAUAGUGAUUUUACCCACUACAGAAAUUAUAGAGCC
RNAcentral lists this non-coding RNA (108 nucleotides) under Streptococcus sanguinis. RNAcentral's name for it is "Streptococcus RNA 266". It matches the Rfam family "Streptococcus RNA 266". Lineage: Bacteria; Bacillati; Bacillota; Bacilli; Lactobacillales; Streptococcaceae. The record is from RNAcentral.